This 2132-nucleotide long non-coding RNA is filed under the name Parus major (Great Tit). RNAcentral describes it as "lncRNA (ENSPMJG00000006382.1)". Lineage: Eukaryota; Metazoa; Chordata; Aves; Passeriformes; Paridae. The record is from RNAcentral.
UGCGGUUCGGCGGCGCUUUGGAGAGAAACGGGGGCGGGCCGGGCUGGGCUGGACCUGGGUUCGAGUCCCGGCUGGGGUGGCUGCGGCAUUGCAAGGUCAGGAGUUCGAGUCCCGUUCGAGGCGCCUCGUCCCGGUGUCUCUCCUGUGCCGCCACGGCCAAAUUUCUGCCUUGCCCAUGAGUGACUUGGUUUUACAGUGGACCAGGCAGGAGAGGAUCCUUCUAAUGUCUCCUCACUUUGGGAUGAGCCUCUCCCAGCCCCACUGGCAGCACUGGAGCUGCGCUGGGCUGGUACUGGGAUGGGAAUGUGUGGGAGAAGCCUGGAAGGCUGGGCUGUGUGGGAUUCGUGAGCAGCUCAUGUAUCUUGACCUGAUGGUCUGAGGAUAUCAGAGCACUCACAGCAGGUAAAGAGCCCCUCCUGCCUUGCCCAGGUGUCUCAAGUCAGUGAGAGUUUAGCAGAAGUUAAAGUGAAAUUUUCAUUGUCCAAAGCUCUUCUCUAAGUUUUUACACAGAGAACAAGAUAUAGAGGAAGCUCCAGCCCUCAGUGCAAGGAGCAGCUCUGAAAGACAACAGGUGUCAAAUCCAGAAUUCAACUGACCCGUAACAAAAACACCAAAUUCCAGUUUUAGUAAAAUCUAGAUGCCCAGAAGCAUCAUUUAUUGCAAAUCAGUUAACAAAAAAAAAUACAUCAUUUUUGCAAACUACAACUUUGCAUGUAGAUAACUUUAUUACAGAAGAUAUCUUUUCUUAAACUACACUCUAGUUUAUAAAACAUAGGAAGAUUCAACACCACGUGAUGUUUUUAUCACUCAUAUUAGGUGUGUCACAAUAACAAUGGUCUGAAAUGUUAACUAAGAUGAGUGCUCAGCAAGGCACUGUGCCUUGAGAAAUAUCCAUUUUAUUUGGUGUUCUAAUAGAAAGGAAUGAGGAAAAGGAACCCUUUUCUUAGGUUUUCUUGAUUAACUGCUCUCUAUCUGCCUGUCCCAUACACAUUAUCUAGUCUUAGGGUGUCUGCUUGCUUUUGCACCCGAGUGAGUGAUAUUCCAACACCUCUAUAAGGUGAUAUAUUUAUGAUAUAUUUAAGACUUGCUCAUUUAGAUUUUUGAAACAAAAUCCACCUUUUCUUGAAAAAAACAAAACAAAACAAAAAACCAAACCAAAAAAACCCCAUAUUUACAAACAUUAAAUCUGCCACAGGCUUAUACUAUAUUUUACAUGAUACACAGAAAGAGUGCACAUCAAUAUAAAAAAAGAUGCAUCACUCCAGGCUAACGUCACAGAACAAAAUGUCAACGUUUCACAGCACAGCUGUGCUGGCCCCUUGCCCUCCAGUUUGGCCAGUCCAGCCUCCCACCAAAACCAGCAGCACAUCCCACUGGGCACCCAGUGAGGGCUCUGCCAGAGGAGCUGGGGCCGGGUGAGCACGUGGGGGUGGCAGUGUGAUAAUGCUUUGUAAUCUCACUCAGGGUGUCUGCACUGCCAGACACACCUUCUUUUAAAAAAUAGGCAGGCCAUCCUUAAAAUAAGGAUGUGGUUUACAAAGUUUAUAUUGGCAUUUAUUUCUUAAAACGGUUACUCAAAGGCAAACAUGAAAACAAAACAAAAAAAAAAUCAGUAAAGAUAUUCAAAGUAAAAUUAAGUCUCCUUUGUGUAUAUACUCCAUACUUAUGGGCUUGCUCUCUUGGAAGUUUGGCAAAUACAUUUCUUUUUGAUGGGGGACAGUAUUCAUGUUUUGUAGGGUGUUUUUUUUUUAGCUUAGAAACUGUUCUUACAGGUCUAUAAUCCUGAUUUUCUUUUUCUUUUUUUUUUUUUUUUAGAUCAUAAAAAUCAUUUAAAUAUAUAUAUUUUUAUAUAUAUAUAAAAACAAGAGAGAACAAAAAUUUCUAUUAUCAAGGCAAAUGUACAACUAUAUAAUACUGAAAUUUAAACAAAGAUUCAUGACUGGUACCAUAAAAUGUCCUCUCAUAUAAUUGCAAAGGAAACAUUUUAAAGUACAUUUAAAAAAUGUGUCCAUAUUAAUUUUUUUCCCCUUAAGGAGUGGUAUUUUUAGUCAAUUUUUACUUCCCCUCUUCUUUCUCACCUCUCUUUCUGAGUUGAAAGAGAAAAAAAAUAAAUUAAUGGCAUUUCAGAAUCA